UAGAGUUUGAUCCUGGCUCAGAAUGAAUGCUGGCGGCGUGCCUAACACAUGCAAGUCGUACGAGAAAGACUGUUUUCGGAUGGUCGAGUAAAGUGGCGCACGGGUGAGUAACGCGUAGGUAACCUACCCUUGUAUUGGGGAUAACAGGACGAAAGUUCUGCUAAUACCGGAUGUGACCUGGGGCUGGAGGGUUUCAGGUUAAAGUGGGCCUCUCGAAGAAGCUCAUGUACAGGGAUGGGCCUGCGUCCUAUCAGCUUGUUGGUGGGGUAAUGGCCUACCAAGGCGACGACGGGUAGCUGGUCUGAGAGGAUGAUCAGCCACACUGGCACUGGAACACGGGCCAGACUCCUACGGGAGGCAGCAGUGAGGAAUUUUGCGCAAUGGGAGCAAUCCUGACGCAGCAACGCCGCGUGGGUGAAGAAGGCCUUCGGGUCGUAAAGCCCUGUCAGGUGGGAAGAAGGGUCCUAUCAGGAAAGGGGUGGGAUUUGACGGUACCACCAGAGGAAGCACCGGCUAACUCCGUGCCAGCAGCCGCGGUAAUACGGAGGGUGCGAGCGUUAUUCGGAAUUACUGGGCGUAAAGCGCCGUGUAGGCGGGGGAGCAAGUCUGAUGUGAAAGCCCCGGGCUUAACCCGGGAAGUGCAUUGGAAACUGUUUUUCUUGAGUACUGGAGAGGAAGGGGGAAUUCCCGGUGUAGAGGUGAAAUUCGUAGAGAUCGGGAGGAAUACCAGCGGCGAAGGCGCCCUUCUGGACGGUUACUGACGCUGAGACGCGAAAGCGUGGGGAGCAAACAAAAUGAGAUACCCUGGUAGUCCACGCUGU
Molecule: ribosomal RNA, 821 nt
Filed under: uncultured bacterium
Lineage: Bacteria
Description: bacterial SSU rRNA
Rfam family: Bacterial small subunit ribosomal RNA
Source: RNAcentral